RNAcentral lists this ribosomal RNA (494 nucleotides) under uncultured bacterium. RNAcentral describes it as "partial 16S ribosomal RNA". It matches the Rfam family "Bacterial small subunit ribosomal RNA", at positions 28 to 507 of the family's 1533-position model. The record is from RNAcentral.
GACGAACGCUGGCGGCGCGCUUAACACAUGCAAGUCGAACGGAAAGGCCUGCUUUCCCUUGUGGAUUGCGGGUACUCGAGUGGCGAACGGGUGAGUAACACGUGAGUGAUCUGCCCCCAACUUGGGUAUAAGCCUGGGAAACUGGGUCUAAUUCCCGAUAGGACUGCAGGGUGGUGCCUGUGGUGGAAAACGAUUUUCUAGUGGUUGGGGAUGAGCUCGCGGCCUAUCAGCUUGUUGGUGGGGUAAUGGCCUACCAAGGCGGCGACGGGUAGCCGGCCUGAGAGGGUGGACCGCCACAUUGGGACUGAGAUACGGCCCAGACUCCGACGGGAGGCAGCAGUGGGGAAUAUUACACAAUGGGCGGAAGCCUGAUGCAGCGACGCCGCGUGGGGGAUGACGGCCUUCGGGUUGUAAACUCCUUUCGACCGCGAGGAAGCCACCUGGUUGGAAGGGUGGUGACGGUAGUGGUAGAAGAAGCACCGGCUAACUACGUG